This 472-nucleotide ribosomal RNA is filed under the name uncultured bacterium. Its description in RNAcentral is "bacterial SSU rRNA". It matches the Rfam family "Bacterial small subunit ribosomal RNA", at positions 26 to 518 of the family's 1533-position model. The record is from RNAcentral.
AGGACGAACGCUGGCGGCGUGCUUCAUACAUGCAAGUCGAACGAGAAUCUGACUUCGGUCAGAGGAAAGUGGCGGACGGGUGAGUAAAAUGUAGAGAAUCUGCCCUAGAGAGAGGGACAACAGUUGGAAACGACUGCUAAUACCUCAUAUGCGCGUAGCUGAGAUGCUAUUCGUGAAAACUCCGGUGCUCUGGGAUGAGUCUGCAUCUGAUUAGCUAGUUGGCGGUGUAAUGGACCACCAAGGCGACGAUCAGUAGCUGGUUUGAGAGGAUGAUCAGCCACAAUGGGACUGAGACACGGCCCAUACUCCUACGGGAGGCAGCAGUAGGGAAUUUUGCGCAAUGGGGGAAACCCUGACGCAAGCAACGCCGCGUGAUUGAAUAAGCCCUUCGGGGUGUAAAGAUCUGUCAGUAGGGACGAAACUUGACGGUACCUACAGAGGAAGCAUCGGCUAACUCCGUGCCAGCAGCCGC